This is a long non-coding RNA of Hemicordylus capensis (graceful crag lizard), 737 nucleotides long. RefSeq lists it as uncharacterized. Lineage: Eukaryota; Metazoa; Chordata; Lepidosauria; Squamata; Cordylidae. The transcript is spliced from 3 exons. The record is from RefSeq and is a predicted model, not a curated record.
GAAAAAAUACGUUUGGACUGUUAAGGGAAGAGGUGGGUCUUAUGAAGGGGAAAUAUGCUACUCCAUCAGACUGGCUAUGGUACAAUCACAACGCAGUGAUCCCUUAACUACGAACCCCUGGUGAUUCUGCUAGCAAUAUCUUUAAAAAGACCCAGUAGAACUCACCGUCAGCUCUGACAGAGGUGAUCUGGAGGAAGAAGAAAGCAGAUCCCACACACUGGACGAAGUCUGUUCGGUUUUGCCCAGACAUGAAGAAGGAAAACCUGUGAUGGAAAGGAAACCUAUCCUUACUGCUGCCAGAAUCUUUUUGGUUAAUAUACAUGCACAAGAUAAUUUGCUAUUUCUGUUGAAACGGAAAGCUCCAAAAUGAUGUUUUUCAUAUUCUUCUCCUUACUUGCUAUUUUUUCCUGACUUCUUGAGUUACCCCCACCUCCUAGAAAUGUGAGGUUGGCAAGGAAUGUGUGAGCCUCCUGGAAAAUCCUAGAGGAUGAAUAACAACAACCAAAAGCAGUAGCUGACCUCCUAUAAAGCACUUCCUUCUAUCCUGCCCUUCUGUGUCCCAGACUACUGAAGUAACCAUUAUUCUAAUGCCCAGAUAUGGAGAAAGUGAUACUCUUGAGGAUCCAGAAGCUCAUUUUCAGCAUCCUUGGAUUUUCUCAACAAUUACUGUAGAGCUAUUAUCGGAUAUCAAGGUAGUGUCAGAGGCUUUGGUGGUAAAGUAGAAAAUGUUCUGAAAA